This 253-nucleotide ribosomal RNA is filed under the name uncultured bacterium. RNAcentral describes it as "partial 16S ribosomal RNA". It matches the Rfam family "Bacterial small subunit ribosomal RNA", at positions 524 to 776 of the family's 1533-position model. The record is from RNAcentral.
CACGUAGGGGGCAAGCGUUGUCCGGAUUUAUUGGGCGUAAAGAGCUCGUAGGUGGCUGAGUAAGUCGGAUGUUAAAUCCCCAGGCUCAACCUGGGACACCACCCGAUACUGCUCUGGCUAGAGUCCGGUAGGGGAGCGUGGAAUUCCUGGUGUAGCGGUGAAAUGCGCAGAUAUCAGGAGGAACACCAGCGGCGAAGGCGGCGCUCUGGGCCGGAACUGACACUGAGGAGCGAAAGCGUGGGUAGCAAACAGG